UUUUAAUAGCUUAUAUUAGAGCAUGAUAUUGAAGAUAUUAAGGAGGAACUAUUCUUUAAAAUAU
Molecule: transfer RNA, 64 nt
Filed under: Plateros sp. UPOL A00509
Lineage: Eukaryota; Metazoa; Arthropoda; Insecta; Coleoptera; Lycidae
Description: tRNA-Phe
Source: RNAcentral